Molecule: ribosomal RNA, 260 nt
Filed under: uncultured bacterium
Lineage: Bacteria
Description: partial small subunit ribosomal RNA
Rfam family: Bacterial small subunit ribosomal RNA
Source: RNAcentral
AGAAUCAACGCUGGCGGCGUGCCUAACACAUGCAAGUCGAACGAGAAAGUGGAGCAAUCCAUGAGUAAAGUGGCGACCGGGUGAGUAACACGUGACUAACCUACCUUCGAGUGGGGGAUAACCUCGGGAAACCGGGCUAAUACCGCAUAAAAUCUUUGGAUCGGAAGAACUGGAGAUCAAUGGAGCAAUUCGCUUGAAGAGGGGGUCGCGGCUGAUUAGCUAGUUGGCGGGGUAAUGGCCCACCAAGACAGUGAUCGGUA